CAGCAGCCGCGGUAAUACAGAGGUCUCAAGCGUUGUUCGGAUUCAUUGGGCGUAAAGGGUGCGUAGGUGGCGGGGUAAGUCAGGUGUGAAAUUUCGGAGCUUAACUCCGAAACUGCAUUUGAUACUGCCUUGCUUGAGGACUGGAGAGGAGACUGGAAUUCACGGUGUAGCAGUGAAAUGCGUAGAGAUCGUGAGGAAGACCAGUGGCGAAGGCGGGUCUCUGGACAGUUCCUGACACUGAGGCACGAAGGCCAGGGGAGCAAACGGGAUUAGAUACCCCGGUAGUCCUGGCAGUAAACGGUGCACGUUUGGUGUGGGGGGAUUCGACCCCUUCCGCGCCGGAGCUAACGCGUUAAACGUGCCGCCUGGGGAGUACGGUCGCAAGAUUAAAACUCAAAGAAAUUGACGG
RNAcentral lists this ribosomal RNA (409 nucleotides) under uncultured bacterium. RNAcentral's name for it is "bacterial SSU rRNA". It matches the Rfam family "Bacterial small subunit ribosomal RNA", at positions 509 to 916 of the family's 1533-position model. The record is from RNAcentral.